ACUGGGCGUAAAGGGUGCGUAGGCGGGCAAAUGUGUCGGUUGUGAAAUCUCGGGGCUUAACUCCGAAACUGCGGCCGAAACUAUUUGUCUAGAGGCUUGGAGAGGAGAGCGGAAUUUCAGGUGUAGCGGUGAAAUGCGUAGAUAUCUGAAAGAACACCCAUGGCGAAGGCAGCUCUCUGGACAAGUUCUGACGCUGAGGCACGAAAGGGUGGGGAGCAAAAGGGAUUAGAUACCCCUGUAGUCCACCCCGUAAACGUUGUACACUAGGUGUUGGAGGAUUCGACCCCUUCAGCGCUCAAGCUAACGUGAUAAGUGUACCGCCUGCGGACUACGGCCGCAAGGCUAAAACGUAAAGGAAUUGACGGGCCCCCGCACAAGCGGUGGAGCAUGUGGCUUAAUUCGAUGCAACGCGAAGAACCUUACCCAGGUUUGACAUGCAGUGGACAGGGUGUGAAAGCACCCCUCUCUUCGGAGCCGCUGCACAGGUGCUGCAUGGCUGUCGUCAGCUCGUGUCGUGAGAUGUUCGGUUAAGUCCGUCAACGAGCGCAACCCUCGUCCUUAGUUGCCAGCGGUUCGGCCGGGGACUCUAAGGAGACAAACCUCUUAUAGAGGUGGGAAGGUGGGGAUGACGUCAAGUCAGUAUGGCCCUUACGCCUGGGGCUGCACACGUGCUACAAUGCCUGGUACAGUGGGAAGCAAUACCGCGAGGUGGAGCAAACCCCUAAAGCCAGGCCCAGUUCGGAUUGGAGUCUGCAACUCGACUCCAUGAAGCCGGAAUCGCUAGUAAUGGCGU
Molecule: ribosomal RNA, 793 nt
Filed under: uncultured Verrucomicrobiota bacterium
Lineage: Bacteria; Pseudomonadati; Verrucomicrobiota
Description: bacterial SSU rRNA
Rfam family: Bacterial small subunit ribosomal RNA
Source: RNAcentral